AUUACGGCGCGGCCUUCCGCUGAAUGUCGGGAGUUGUAGUCCUUAGGCCUCAGAGCUUCACGGGCUGUGGGUUUCUAAGGUUCAACUGCCUCAAUCACUUUUAACUUCGGACUUCAAGUCCCACAAGGCAGGAAAGCUGGCAUACUGGAACGCAGUUUAUAAACUAAACAGAAACAGAUUGCGCGGAUUUGGUCUGUACUUAUCCUUUUCCCGCCAAUUGGUUAUUUAAUCUGCCCAGCUACUCAAAAUGUGAAAAGAAUGUGAAAAGGUCCUUUGCUUGAAAAGGUUUUUGCACACUCUAUGAGCAUGGAGGGCUGCAGAAUCGUCUCUUCUACAUUAGUAUUACUUUUAUUACGGCUAAUAAACUUAAAUUGAAAUGUAGAUGUAGGAAAUAAUUCGUACUUUGUAAAUUUUCACAGAGAAAUUAUAAUUGUUCUUGAAAUUUUUUCAACCAAAAAAAUAGAGGGAAAGGAAGUUUUAGUAUUUCAAUUUUGCAUUCUUACAUUUUUUUUUUUAAUGGAAGAAGCUACCCGUUGAUUUAAUUUCAGGUUCCGAUGAAAAAUUAAUGUUUGACUUAAAAAGGUGUCUUUUUUUUUUUCAAAGAUAGGAUUACACAGACAAGGAUGACGCUGUAACUACCAUAAUAAUCGUAACUUAUAACUGACCACUUUCACUCAUUAUCAGGUUAUCUUGGUUCAGAGGUUCUGUCCAUUACCACCAAGGCGGGAGCAGAGCUGAGAGUUCUUCAUCCUCAUCUGAAGGCUGCUAGGAGACUGGCUUCCAGGGAGCUAGGGCUAUAUUCAGCCACCGUGGGCUACCUAUAGGACUGUGAGUUCCUUGAAAGCAAGGGUUGUUUUAAUCAAGUGUGAAAAUACAAGGCAAAGCACAGCUACUGUGUGUGGGCAGCUAUUAUGUUGCAACCUGCCAGUUGCUAGGAUCUGAGACUACCAGCAUGUUUGUCCAGACAGAGUCUUGCUGGUCUUGAGUUCACUGCAUGGCCUCAUCUUCCUGAGAGCAGGGAUUCUGGCUCCUAGUCUUGGGUUCCGCUUCUCAAAUGCAGAUCAAAUAAAAACAGCUGUUGGCAAAAGCCCUUGGUUCCAGUUAAUCUUUGUUAUAUCAGUAACCAGAGAGUGUGUGCUAAAUAGUACUGAGAUUUCUAGUGGCUACUUAUGCCUUGCACUGUUGGGUACUUUAAAUAAGGUGGUUCAUUUAAUCUCCACAACAAAUCUGAGAGUUAAUUUUACACAGGAGGAAACUGAGGUACAGAGCAGUCAAACUACCUCACCAAGGUCAUACGGGUAAUAGAUAACAGGUCUCAGCUUUGAACGUUAAGUAGUGUGGCAUCAGAGCUUGCAUGUACUCUCUUGGCACACAGUGGUCCUCAAGUGGGUGCUUUCUGCUUCUGCUGUUCAAAGAGACCCUCGAGGAAGGAGUGGAAAGAAGAAUUAAACAGCUCUGCAAAUGGAGGGGAGCUUUCUGACAUGUUACAAAAACAGGUCUUCGAUUCCAAUGAUAAAACUCAGUCUUCGCAGAGGUGGGUAUAUAACUCAACAGCAGGACAACGGAGAGAUAGCCUUGCACGCCUCUCAUGUGCAAGGUCAUUAGGUUCAGUCCCUACCUUAUACAGAGAAAUAAAUUAAUAACAAUUCGCCGUGAAAACU
RNAcentral lists this small RNA (1661 nucleotides) under Rattus norvegicus (Norway rat). Its description in RNAcentral is "uncharacterized LOC102546497". Lineage: Eukaryota; Metazoa; Chordata; Mammalia; Rodentia; Muridae. The record is from RNAcentral.